This 3988-nucleotide long non-coding RNA is filed under the name Selaginella moellendorffii. RNAcentral describes it as "long non-coding RNA (SMOE_LNC002475)". The record is from RNAcentral. Lineage: Eukaryota; Viridiplantae; Streptophyta; Lycopodiopsida; Selaginellales; Selaginellaceae.
CAGAGUGCUUCACGAUCCCAUCGUCGCCAAUCCAGUACCACUCGUAUGUAGUUCUUCUACAUACGAGCCUGCAAGAAUCAAGCACACCAUUUCAGUGGCCCGGAGGUCUUACGAAACUCUCAAAUCCCCAUACCUUUGCAUCUGGCUCCCCAGGAGAAUCAAAGCCAGAGCUCUUGAAAGUCGUGUUUUUCUUCCAGUGUCGGCGAGCUUGUGGGAGGGAGCCUUUUCCCGCCUCGCGCACUAGCAUGCCGCCAUCUGGCCAUCAUCGCUAUGAAACGCGUUUUGAUAGUCGCAUACAACGACGGGCCCUUGGAAGAGCUGCUCUGCGAGAUACCUGGAAUGAGAAGAUCACCAGAAAACGUUGAUUUUGGUUUCCCUCUAACACACCUUUGGUGCUUGCUCCAUUGCACAGGAGUUUCGAAGGGAAAGUCUUUCACGCAUAAGAUCACGCAAAGGAAAGAAUAAAUCUCGAUUGCUUGUGUGUAAGUUAUCCUUCCGAUUUGCAGGAAUGAGGAGCGGACGCCUUGUCAAGGAUGCGGUCGGUGAGCACAGAUCUCUGGGAGGAAAUCGUCUCCAGCGGCCUCGCUAAUCUCGUCAUGGAAAUGUAUGGAAAGUGCGGCUGCUGAUCGUGGCGUGAGCUUGCCGUAGACGUUGAGCAGCACUGUGGCGAUGGAGAUUCUGCGGUACUUGCUUGUGUGCCUCAGCUUUCAGCUUCCCAAGAUCCUGGGCGAAAGCUUGCAGGAGCUGGCUGGCAGAACCUCGUGGGAGACCAGUGGGGCAAAUGCGAGCUCAUUAUCUUAGGCCAGCGGCGACGAAUACCGCGUGGAUCUGAGGCGUUGAAUGAAGAAGCAUGAGUGCCACCGCUUCUCGCAUCGGGCAAAUGCCGCCGUCGCAAUGUUCCACGAGAAAACAUCUCAAUCUUCCAUCUUGUGGAAGGCUCCCAAGGCGUCUGCCGCUCUUCCAGGGGGUCCAAUUCAAGGACGCCGUCACCUGGAUGUCGGAGUUGGCACUCUGUCAAAGGGAUCAAAAGAGCAGUGAAAGGACACAAAGGCAGUGUAAAGAGAGAAAAGAGCUGCAAACCUGUUUGCGCGACAGGUGGAUUGACCAUAUACAUCAGAAAUACAAGAGUCCCAGCACCAAGCCGAGGUACGCAUAUACUUCCCUCGCAUUCAUGUGUUAACUUCCAUGAACACUACACAGGGUAGGAGCAGGCAAGACAAGAAGGCCAAAGACGAGGCACUCUUGCGUUUGGAGGCCGAGAAACUAGCCAGGGAGAAAGCCGAAGCGGCGGCCAAGCAAAGAGUGGAAAGGAUACAGAGGAAGUCCGAGGCGGACUUGCGGGCUCACAGGGACGAGAUACACAAGCUGGAGCAGGAAGUUUGCAAGCUCAAGCUCAGUGCUAGGGAGCUAAGCUUGUCAAUGGAUCUGAGCGAGCAGGACGCGGUGGCGAUGGUGUGGGGCUGACUGACUGGUUUGGCUUUCUUUGUAUAAUAGGGGACUAUGGAGUUAGCUUUGCAAACGAGUGCUAUGGUUGCUUCCUCGACGUUCUGGGAAGAGCGGGGCGUUUGGAAAUCGCCGAGGAUAUGAUUUGCAACAUGCCGUUCGAGCCGAGUGCCUGCAAAACGCACAGCGACAUCGCUCGAGCACUGCGGGUGACAAACUACAUCAACCAUUUCGCUCCAGACAAGAAGACGCAGUCGUGCAUGCUUCUGGCCAACACGUACGCUGCCUGGUGGCUAUGGACCCGUGCCAUCGGCCUUGCUACUCGGGCAGGAGACGAGAGAGCGCUCGAAGAGUUUUUCGAGGAACUUGAGCAAGAACAAGAAGCUAUUGAGAUAUCGUGACGAGUUUCACGACUUUUUCGUUUCAAACUGCGAGAAUCGCUGCUGUGCUCCAGAUUCUCUCGACAGCGUCGUCGAUCCGGGAGAGAAAAUUCUAAGACUUGGGAGAGAGAACAGCUUUCUCUUCUCAAAAGUUUUGCGCUGCCUAUUGUUUAUCUCCAGAAUCUAAUCACCUGGAAAACAAACUUAUUGUUUAUCGAGAUGGAACUAAAACUCGAGCCCUUUGUGCACUGCGAGCACGGGCACAAAGGCAGCGUUGAUCCGCUCCACAAGGAUAUUGUUCCAUAAGCGUGCUAACCAUGGAAGGCGCUGCUGGGCUCAGGCAAGCGAGCAAGACUAGAAUGGCUUCCAGGAACAAGCUCCAUUGUGCCCGAGUGGAGGGAAUCAAGGAGCGCAAGCCUCGCAGAGAGCCAAGCAGCACAGUGAUCUCUACGUUCCUUGCAGCUUGAUGGGCAUGUCUGGCUGCCUGGUUGAGGCGAGAAUGUAGUUGCCUGGAACGCUUGGAUCUUGGGCGUCACCUGGCGAAGAAUCCCUCGUGCUCUGGACGCAUUCGAGACCACGGAUGGAAUCCCUCUGUCGAUCGACACUGGACCGCAGGAAUCCCAGCGGGAAAUCGACACUCCAGGCCUACAUUCACAACCAGCAGCUUCACGAGGCCAAGCGCGUCUUGGAGUCCAUGCCCGGGAAGAAUGAAUGCGCUUCUUUCAGCAAAUGCCCAAAGCCGGCAAAUUCACGUAGCGAGGCUUGUUUUUUAUCGAAUUCCAGAGUGGCACGUAGUUUGCAUGAAUGCUAUUUGCGAAAGCUGGAAUGAUUAGCGAGGCUAGAAACCAAUUUGAAAACAUGCCUGAGAGACUCUGUGUCGUGGAAUGUGAUUCUCGAAGCAAAGAAGCUGUUGUCAGGAUGGAACGAGAUCAUGAUUCUCACACACAAAAAUACUGAGCAAUCCAGUUCUACGGAACUCUAUGAUCGCUGCGGAUGCAAGCACAAAAGUUCUUUGCGAGGAUGACGCAGAGAGAUUCCGUGUCAUGGGCAACACCUGUCAACUCUUUUGCGCAGCAUGGCUGCACUAAUCUUGCGAGAGGCAUAUAUGAGAGACUGCCACAGCACGAUGUUAUGGGGUGGACUGGAAUGCUCCGAGCAAAUGCCCAGUGCGGUGAAAUAUGUUUUUGACUCAAUCCCUCAAAGAAACCUUGUCUCCUUGCCAAUACACUUUGCAAUCAAGACAAUCUUGCAAAAGCUAAACGAGUGUUUUCCAUGUCGUCGAUGCUCUUGGGACCAACUCUGGGCAGGAGGAUACAUUUCAAAGGUGGCAACAUCUUGAUGUUUCUGGUGUUGGUUUAGGGUGAUUGGUAUCACAGGAUGGACGAUGAAAUUCAGGGGAAGAUAUGAACGUUGUGUGACUUAAUUGACUCCUGGAAGGAAUUUGAGGUGUUCCAGCACACCAAGCUCAACAGCAUCUAUAGAUGAAGUGGUUUUAGCAGCCAUGUAAUUCCUUUGCUUUUUCUUUGGCUAGGGUCUUGCAAAUCUGUAGCGGGGCCAUACAUAGACCACAGCAAGAUCAUCAAUCGUAAUCACUCUCUUGAUAUAUUAAUGUAUGAAUUACUGCAUUUAAACACUAAUGCAUUUAAGCCAGGCUGCUUUGGUGUUUCUACUUUUUGUGUUUGCCACUUUUCAGAAUGUGUUGUGUCUACCUCAGGCAGAAGGGGUAGUUGAUGCUAAUGUUGUCUUUGGAUGCUAAUGCUGUCAACAGAAUUCAGGAUUUGAUCUGUAUCCUACCAUUGGAGAUUAGGCUGUCUUUGAGGAUUUUCGGGAGAUUGAUGCUGACCAUGUUCAGGUCUUUGAGGAACUCUCCAAAGAUGUAUAAUCAAAUAGGCAAGAACAAAAGUAAUAACAACAACAAUAUCAACGUCAGUAUAGAUGAGGAAGUCAAGGAAAGAAAAUGUAUCAGCUGUCUGAAAAACUUGAAAGAACAAUAAUACGAUCAUUUCCUUAUUUGGAUGUAAACCUCUAGCAGAUCACAAACAAGUAACAACAUCAUGGUCACAAGUCCCGGUCAAUCCACUAUCCCGAAAAAGGACAAAUCAUUCUAUAUUAACAACAAUUAAGCAAAACUUUGUCAAGGAUAAUUAAUUAGCUUGAAUGAUAGU